RNAcentral lists this ribosomal RNA (561 nucleotides) under uncultured bacterium. Its description in RNAcentral is "bacterial SSU rRNA". It matches the Rfam family "Bacterial small subunit ribosomal RNA", at positions 339 to 906 of the family's 1533-position model. The record is from RNAcentral.
CUACGGGAGGCAGCAGUAGGGAAUUUUCGGCAAUGGAGGAAACUCUGACCGAGCAACGCCGCGUGAAUGAAGACAUAUUUCGGUAUGUAAAGUUCUUUUAUUGGGGAAGAAUAGCCCAUGGAAAAAUGGGUGUGACGGUACCUAAUGAAUAAGCCCCGGCUAACUAUGUGCCAGCAGCCGCGGUAAUACAUAGGGGGCAAGCGUUAUCCGGAAUUAUUGGGCGUAAAGGGUGCGUAGGCGGCCAUUUAAGUCUUUGGUAUAAGUGCAGUGCUUAACGCUGUGAUGCUAAGGAAACUGAAUGGCUUGAGUGAGAUAGAGGCAAGUGGAAUUCCAUGUGUAGCGGUAAAAUGCGUAAAUAUAUGGAGGAACACCAGUGGCGAAGGCGGCUUGCUGGGUCUACACUGACGCUGAGGCACGAAAGCGUGGGGAGCAAACAGGAUUAGAUACCCUGGUAGUCCACGCCGUAAACGAUGAGUACUAAGUGUUGGAGAAAUUCAGCGCUGUAGUUAACGCAAUAAGUACUCCGCCUGAGUAGUACGUACGCAAGUAUGAAACUCAAAG